CAACCCCUCCGGGCCCAGCGCCCGGGUGUCGGGGCUCUCCCCCCGCGGGAGGCCCCUAGAGAAAUUGGCGGACCCGCCGCGGCUCCGAGCGCAGUAGUAAAAUUCUCGCUUUGGACGUCCGCGGGGGAGCUCCGGCCGUAAAACCCUCGGCGCGAGCCGUGACUCUCAA
RNAcentral lists this unclassified non-coding RNA (169 nucleotides) under uncultured Sordariomycetes. RNAcentral describes it as "sequence contains ITS2". Lineage: Eukaryota; Fungi; Ascomycota; Sordariomycetes. The record is from RNAcentral.